AUUGAACGCUGGCGGCAGGCCUAACACAUGCAAGUCGAGCGGAUGAAGGGAGCUUGCUCCUGGAUUCAGCGGCGGACGGGUGAGUAAUGCCUAGGAAUCUGCCUGGUAGUGGGGGAUAACGUCCGGAAACGGGCGCUAAUACCGCAUACGUCCUGAGGGAGAAAGUGGGGGAUCUUCGGACCUCACGCUAUCAGAUGAGCCUAGGUCGGAUUAGCUAGUUGGUGGGGUAAAGGCCUACCAAGGCGACGAUCCGUAACUGGUCUGAGAGGAUGAUCAGUCAGACGGGAGGAUAAGCGCGGUCGAGGCGACGACGGGAGGCAGCAGUGGGGAAUAUGGGACGAUGGGCGAAAGAGUGAAAAAGACAUGACGUGUGGGGGAAGAAGAGCUUCGUAUUGUAAUGCUCUUUAGGUGGGAAGAAAAGGCAGUGAGCUAAUACCUUGCGGGUCUGCCGUCACCAACAGAAAAAGCAAAGGCUAACUUGGUG
Molecule: ribosomal RNA, 484 nt
Filed under: uncultured bacterium
Lineage: Bacteria
Description: partial 16S ribosomal RNA
Rfam family: Bacterial small subunit ribosomal RNA
Source: RNAcentral